Long non-coding RNA from Balaenoptera musculus (blue whale), 1999 nucleotides. RefSeq lists it as uncharacterized. The record is from RefSeq and is a predicted model, not a curated record. The transcript has 5 exons. Lineage: Eukaryota; Metazoa; Chordata; Mammalia; Artiodactyla; Balaenopteridae.
CACACCCUAAAAGAGGGAGUUGCAGGGUUUUCUCUGUUAAGGGAAAACAGCCAAAAGAAGACAUCUUACUCUCUCUUCACUGCGGGAAGAACACCAGGCAUAUUCCAUGGACAGCCAGAGCCGGUGAAAGCAAAGCCCUCUCACUGCAUCCCUGGAAUAGCUGAGAAUCUGCCCUUGAAUUUCAUAGAUGGUGAUUCGCAGAAUGUCUGUGCAAUGUACUUGGAGAAGGGCUGCUGGGUGACUGACCAAGCUGUCCAGGGCCAUCCGUCCCUCCCAGAGAAGCUCAGCUCUCCCCUUGGAGAGUAAAGCACAGUAACACAAGGAUAUGUGGAUGGACAACUGGCCUUUUAAAGGACUCAGAGAAGCAUUAGACGAAGAUAUUUCUUCAAGAGCAGCAGCUACAUCUUUGUUGGGUGUCCUUGAUUCUAAGUUCCCGAAAGAGAGGGUCCACGUCUUAUUAGAAUUUAGUAUCCCUGCGCCUGGCUGCUGGCCCGCCGUUGAUAACCAAUAAAUGUUUGUCAGCUGAACCGACUGAACUGAAAACCCCUCUAACUUGGCAGACUUUGCAAGUAUAAGGCAGCUUCUGAAAUCUCUGUGAGCAAUUUCACCCCCCUCUGCUCCUUUCCACUACAUUUCUUGGAGUUCCAGUCUACACAGAAGCUGUUCAGGAUUAAUUUCCAGCCACUAUGAAAGCCAUGAACUCUGGGCUCUGUCUCCUGAAUCCAGUGUGACUGCUACCUUCCACUUAGGCUGUAUUCUCAGAAUUGCUGCUGAUUUUCCAGAUGUUCUCUCCUGUGAAGCUUUGUCUUUUAAAGGUACGUGUUCUUUCCAGGAUGAAUCAGUCUCUUCCAUUCCCUGAAGCAUUACUUCCAUCAGUCAAGCCAUUUUUCUGAUCCUCAUGCAACCUUCCUUAAACUGAGUACAACUCUUUCGAACACCGAAUUGAGCAACUGAUAAAGAUUGAGGCUGGGCGGAGGCAGAGCUUGGCUGCUCACUACGGAAGCCAGAUGGACCCAUCGUCCCUCUCGGCCCACCAGCAGGGUGCCCCGGCUUGAGUCUUUGAACCCAGGAUAAGUGGGGUAAAGAUGAAGAGAUGACAGAGCUAGUCUUCAUGGGGCAGUGACCUGGGACCAUGGCUGUUGGCAUCAACAAUCUUGCAGCAGUGGUGCUGGUCCGGUGAGCCCGACCCAGGUUGUUUCUGAGGCGUGACAGCUGCAUUUUGCUAUUGCCGAGCUCUUUCUGGUUCCUGACCACUUUCUGAGACCAGGUCUUUAGCUUUUCCAGCAUUUCUGUGAGUUCUCCAAUAUCUUUACAAUAAAGCCUUCUACAGUUGCCAGAUUUGACUUCUCUUGUUUCAGCUAAGAUGGUGUCAUUGUCUUCGAAACGAUCCCUUGAGGCUUUGGCUUGUGAGUGGGACCCUUCUUGAGUUCCUGGUGGUAGCACCGAGCUGUGUAUGUACUCAUCUGUGGGUUGUUAUAUAGAUAUUAUUGGAAGAUGCCAGAGAAAAGGAGAUCAAAUGUGUCCGUGUAAUUCAUUGUCUUAAUCUGGGUCCUUUUUCUAUGAACAGCACUGUUUUGGUUCAAGGGCAUUCAGGAAGGCAGACUCUUGCUGGUAUCUGGCUUGAACCAGGAACGCUUCAGUUUUAAACACUCCCGUGCCUUUUUCUCCCCAGUAAGUUCAUUUCCACAUCAGACACGGUUACAAAUUCUUCUCUGUAGGCUGAGAACCAUGUUUUGCCUUGUCCUGUGUGUCUCUGUCAAAUAUAUUUUUUAUCAUGCAUGCCCACCACUUGUAACCACAGCUCCUGCUGCUUAGGCUACGUUGCCAUGGUUUAUAAUAAAUGAUUCUGUUCCUUGUACCCAAGUGCCCCAAAGCUACCUGAAAACCAGAAUUGUGCUAGGGCACAGGGAGCAGUGGGUCACGGGUCAGGGGAAAGCAGGCGUGUAGGCUACGGCUGGCCUCUUAGGGAUCUCCCAGCAUCUUUGCCUCCAGUAAGACA